GUAUCAACCUAUGAAGUGUUUGUUUUAAACAUUUAACGACUGUGUCAACCUUUUAUAAGUUGUAAUAAACAUUUAAUGACUGUGCCAACCUUUAGAAAGUUGUAACAAACAUUUAACGACUGUCCCAACUCUAAAAACGUUGUGACAAACAUUUUUUGACUGCAUCAACGUCUGAAAAGUUGACACAAACAAAUUUUAACUGUCCCAACUAUUAAAAGGUUGGGACGGACAUUAUGCAACUGCCACAACUAUUAGAAAGACUGUAAUAAAUAGAUUUUGACUGUGACAACACCGUAAACCACUGCAACAGUUCUGAAAUGACUGAUGGUAGCAUUUUUUGACUUUCACAACCCGUAGAAAAGUUGGGACAGACAUAAAUGAACUGUUGCAACGAAAUAUGACAGAUUUGACAGUCAUUACUUGUCUUUUACAGACUAAGACAGUCGUACAACGACUGUUACUGGUAUGGACAGUUGUUUUUU
RNAcentral lists this long non-coding RNA (482 nucleotides) under Mytilus galloprovincialis (Mediterranean mussel). The record is from RNAcentral. Lineage: Eukaryota; Metazoa; Mollusca; Bivalvia; Mytilida; Mytilidae.